RNAcentral lists this ribosomal RNA (890 nucleotides) under Clonostachys byssicola. RNAcentral describes it as "LSU rRNA". It matches the Rfam family "Eukaryotic large subunit ribosomal RNA", at positions 38 to 964 of the family's 3401-position model. The record is from RNAcentral. Lineage: Eukaryota; Fungi; Ascomycota; Sordariomycetes; Hypocreales; Bionectriaceae.
GCAUAUCAAUAAGCGGAGGAAAAGAAACCAACAGGGAUUGCCCUAGUAACGGCGAGUGAAGCGGCAACAGCUCAAAUUUGAAAUCUGGCGCAAGCCCGAGUUGUAAUUUGUAGAGGAUGUUUCUGGCGACGUGCCUUCCGAGUUCCCUGGAACGGGACGCCAUAGAGGGUGAGAGCCCCGUACGGUUGGAUGCCUAGCCUCUGUGAAACUCCUUCGACGAGUCGAGUAGUUUGGGAAUGCUGCUCUAAAUGGGAGGUAUACGUCUUCUAAAGCUAAAUACCGGCCAGAGACCGAUAGCGCACAAGUAGAGUGAUCGAAAGAUGAAAAGCACUUUGAAAAGAGGGUUAAAAAGUACGUGAAAUUGUUGAAAGGGAAGCGUUCAUGACCAGACUUGGGCAGGUUGAUCAUCCGUGGUUCUCCGCGGUGCACUCUGCCUGCCCAGGCCAGCAUCAGUUCGUCUCGGGGGAUAAAGGCUCUGGGAAUGUGGCUCCUUCGGGAGUGUUAUAGCCCACUGCGUAAUACCCUGGGAUGGACUGAGGUUCGCGCUCUGCAAGGAUGCUGGCGUAAUGGUCAUCAACGACCCGUCUUGAAACACGGACCAAGGAGUCGUCUUCGUAUGCGAGUGUUCGGGUGUCAAACCCCUACGCGUAAUGAAAGUGAACGUAGGAGAGAGCUUCGGCGCAUCUCCGACCGAUCCUGAUGUUCUCGGAUGGAUUUGAGUAAGAGCAUACGGGGCCGGACCCGAAAGAAGGUGAACUAUGCCUGUAUAGGGUGAAGCCAGAGGAAACUCUGGUGGAGGCUCGCAGCGGUUCUSACGUGCAAAUCGAUCGUCAAAUAUGGGCAUGGGGGCGAAAGACUAAUCGAACCUUCUAGUAGCUGGUUUCCGCCGA